This is a long non-coding RNA of Wyeomyia smithii (pitcher-plant mosquito), 2119 nucleotides long. RefSeq lists it as uncharacterized. NCBI's taxonomy places the organism in Eukaryota, Metazoa, Arthropoda, Insecta, Diptera, Culicidae. The transcript is spliced from 4 exons. The record is from RefSeq and is a predicted model, not a curated record.
UAAAAUCGGAUGAUAUUUCUUAUGCUGAUUAGUAAGCAAACGAAAUAGGAUUUCGUAGUAUUUUUCAAAUUGGUUCCGGGAGUAGAAGCAGCACAAGAUUUUUCGUCGGAUAAUUCUAUAUAUUUCAGACAAAUUUCCUGUUGCACUUCUACAUUUCGAAAAAGAUUUAUUUUGUCUUUCAUCUCAGAUGCUUGGAACAGAAACCGUUCAUCGACAGGGCACUGAAAAGUUACCGGGAUCGGAGCCGAUUCAAAGCCCUUAUUCAACUUCCCGGCUGUACGACCAACAGCUAAAGCUCAACUGGCUGGUUCGAUAACUUUAAUAGGAGGAUUACCCGGUCCAGAGGUGCUACUGAAGGUAUGGAUCGGCUGUGAUGUAAGUUAAAAUAUAAGGUCAAAUUAAAACUUAACUUCCAAAUUACUUGUUUUUCAACUCUAUACAUGGAUUAAUCAGCCUAUUUAGUAUGCUUGAAUUAAAAUAAUCGCUCUACUAAUCUGCAUAUUUAGUCUGAUUUAAUUGGAUUUAGAAUAUGAUCCACCGAUUUCUCAACCUAUUUCGUAUGGUUCAGGCAAUUUCAUCACCAGACUAAUCUACCUGUUUCGUCUGAUUUCGUAUAUGGGCUCGAACAAAAUCACCCUAAAAUGACUCGAUUUGGUUGGUUUUCGUCGACCGAUUUCGUAUACUGAUCAAUCGGUAAACCCCCCUGUUAAACUGUUGCAACAAUCAGUUGAUUCGUCGGAAUCGAAAUCGGGCAAUUGUGCCUACGAGAACGUAUUGUGCGUUGCAAGAAAUCUUUUCAUUAUGCGGAAUUUGCGAAAUGAACAAAGCUUCCGUUCCUGAGAAACGGUCUAGGAAUCGAUACUGUUUUCAGAAGGUAUCGAUACAGCUGGGAUGUUGAUCAAUUACAACGUACGCAGCGCUGACCGGAAGAGUGUAUCAGCGAAAGUUCACGUCUUGGGAAAAAAGCCCUAAAAAGACACAACGUACAGCACCACUGAGCAUAUAAUUAAAAUUUUGAAAUGGAAGAAGGUUAUAAUUCUAUCUCGAGUGAAGAACAAGGUACAUACGAAGUUGAGUUUCUAGAUUCCCAUUAUUCUUGUUCUGAAUCAUCCGGAGAGACAGAAAUGCACAUACAGAGUACCAUAAGUAAUUCACCAACAUUAAUUUCUGCAUCGAACCGAGAUGAUGAGAGGCGAUCUACAAAGAAAUUACCGACGGCUGGUGAUGAAUAUAGUUCAUUGGAUGAUCUAGAACCAGCAGGAAAUAGUAGCGAAGAGAAAUUGUUUAGUUUUCAUGCGGAUAUACUGGAGAAAAAGUUUAAAGGGCAGAAAUCGUUUGAAAAGCGUGGAACUGUAAAAGUUACAGAUGAUUCUGUUUAAGGAGUGCUCAACAGAAUAUGGGAAUACUGCGCACAAUUUAUCACGAAGGCUGUUAUUUUCAAGGACUUUGAUCCUAAAGGACAUUCAACGAAUUUGGAGGCCACUUGGGAUAAUGAAGAUCCAUCGUUUGAAUCAAAAGAUAAAUUCUUAAUUUUUCAGGACAAAUCAGGGAAACGAAAUACAGCCCCAUCAGAUGUGACAUCUGAUACGUUACAGGGAUGGCUAUCAAUAACCAUUACGGUUGUUGUUUAUCGCUAUUCAGAUUUUGUGUCAACUGCGCAUAAGUACCAUGCUGUCGAAAGUCAGUUGCUGCGACCUGCUGAAAAGAUCAAGCAGGAGCUGAGCCAAAUGUGUCAUUACAUAAGUUAAAGGAAACUCUCAAAGUUUCACAUGGAAAUCACUUGACGUCAGACGAUAUAAACUGGUCUUGUUGGGCGAACUACGUAAGUACCCAACCAACAACAAUGCGUGAAGAACUCAUAAACCAACUGCCACCGAAACAUCUCAUUGCCCUUUUUCGACCUGUGCCAAUACACUCGGAUACCGUUCUUCUCAGGACGAAAUUUGAUCUUAGUGUAGCAGAGAAUGAAAACAAAGCCUACUCGCGAAUCGUGGGUUAGCUUAAACAAGAUUGUGAUAAUUUACGCACCUUAGUUGCAGUCAUGGGAAGAAGAAUUCUAGUAAUGGAGCAGCUUUUACAUAACCACUGCGAUAUGAUCACUGCUAUGAGAAAUACAGUU